GGUAGCCGGCCUGAGAGGGUGNCCGGCCACACUGGGACUGAGAUACGGCCCAGACUCCUACGGGAGGCAGCAGUGGGGAAUAUUGCACAAUGGGCGCAAGCCUGAUGCAGCGACGCCGCGUGGGGGAUGACGGCCUUCGGGUUGUAAACCUCUUUCAAUAGGGACGAAGCGNAAGUGACGGUACCUNUAGAANAAGCACCGGCCAACUACGUGCCAGCAGCCGCGGUAAUACGUAGGGUGCGAGCGUUGUCCGGAAUUACUGGGCGUAAAGAGCUCGUAGGUGGUUUGUCGCGUUGNCCGUGAAAUUUCACAACUCAAUUGUGAGCGUGCGGGCGAUACGGGCAGACUGGAGUACUGCAGGGGA
This 364-nucleotide ribosomal RNA is filed under the name uncultured bacterium. RNAcentral's name for it is "bacterial SSU rRNA". It matches the Rfam family "Bacterial small subunit ribosomal RNA", at positions 282 to 658 of the family's 1533-position model. The record is from RNAcentral.